GAAGUUGGCUGGGCAGUCGCUGGUUACGCUCCUAAAGGGGCGUGACGGGAGGAAGGUCCGGGCUCCACAGAGCAGGAUAGCGGCUAACAGCCGUCCGCCGAAAACGGGGGUGAAAGCCACCGCAUAAGGCGAGGACUAGGGCCACAGAGACGAGCGUAUUAAGUUACGGUGAAACGCGGCAACCUCUAUCCGGAGCAAUACCAAAUAGGCAUGCGCAGUGAGCGAGUAAUCGCUCACCUAAGGCGGCUCGUCGGAGCAUGCGGGUAGGUAGCUUGAGCGCGCGGGUAACUUCGCGCCUAGAGGAAUGACCGCCACGGGCAUCGGGCAACCGGCGCACGAACAGAACCCGGCCUACAGGCCAGCUUUGCAC
RNAcentral lists this RNase P RNA (370 nucleotides) under Betaproteobacteria bacterium. RNAcentral describes it as "RNase P RNA component class A". It matches the Rfam family "Bacterial RNase P class A". From Rfam's summary of the family: Ribonuclease P (RNase P) is a ubiquitous endoribonuclease, found in archaea, bacteria and eukarya as well as chloroplasts and mitochondria. Its best characterised activity is the generation of mature 5'-ends of tRNAs by cleaving the 5'-leader elements of precursor-tRNAs. Cellular RNase Ps are ribonucleoproteins. Lineage: Bacteria; Pseudomonadati; Pseudomonadota; Betaproteobacteria. The record is from RNAcentral.